This 484-nucleotide ribosomal RNA is filed under the name uncultured bacterium. RNAcentral describes it as "partial 16S ribosomal RNA". It matches the Rfam family "Bacterial small subunit ribosomal RNA", at positions 28 to 507 of the family's 1533-position model. The record is from RNAcentral.
AUUGAACGCUGGCGGCAUGCUUUACACAUGCAAGUCGAACGGCAGCGCGGGCUUCGGCCUGGCGGCGAGUGGCGAACGGGUGAGUAAUGCAUCGGAACGUGCCCAGUAGUGGGGGAUAGCCCGGCGAAAGCCGGAUUAAUACCGCAUACGACCUGAGGGUGAAAGCGGGGGACCGAAAGGCCUCGCGCUAUUGGAGCGGCCGAUGUCGGAUUAGCUAGUUGGUGGGGUAAAGGCUUACCAAGGCGACGAUCCGUAGCUGGUCUGAGAGGACGACCAGCCACACGGGACCUGGACCACGCCCCGGGCUCCUGCGGGAGGCAGCAGGGGGGAUUUUGGGACAAUGGGGGCAACCCUGCCCCAGCCUGCCCGCGGGCGAAAAGACGGCCUCGGGUUUGUAACCCGGUUUUUUGGGGGAAAAAAUCCUUUGGGCUAACACCCGGGGGGAAUGACGGUACGGGAAAAAAAAGCCCCGGCUAACUACGUG